CGUAGGGUGCGAGCGUUAAUCGGAAUUACUGGGCGUAAAGCGUGCGCAGGCGGUGAUGUAAGACAGGUGUGAAAUCCCGGGGCUCAACCUCGGAACUGCAUUUGUGACUGCAUCGCUGGAGUGCGGCAGAGGGGGAUGGAAUUCCGCGUGUAGCAGUGAGAUGCGUAGAUAUGCGGAGGAACACCGAUAGCGAAGGCAAUCCCCUGGGCCUGCACUGACGCUCAUGCACGAAAGCGUGGGGAGCAAACAGGAUUAGAUACCCUGGUAGUCCACGCCCUAAACGAUGUCAACUGGUUGUUGGGUCUUCACUGACUCAGUAACGAAGCUAACGCGUGAAGUUGACCGCCUGGGGAGUACGGCCGCAAGGUUG
RNAcentral lists this ribosomal RNA (370 nucleotides) under uncultured organism. RNAcentral's name for it is "bacterial SSU rRNA". It matches the Rfam family "Bacterial small subunit ribosomal RNA", at positions 526 to 896 of the family's 1533-position model. The record is from RNAcentral.